AAUUAGCGUCUCUAUAAUGUUAUAAUAAUAUAGUAAUCUUAAUAUAUCAACUUAUCUCUCUAUUUGUUUGAGCUGAGCACAACUUUGAAUCUUUAUUCUUUAUACUUUGUAUUCCGUCUUCUUUAAUAAUAAUAAUUAUUCCACAAUAUUCCAAUGUUCUUCAGUUUACUUGACGAGGCUUAAUUAUCUAGCCUUUUAAUUAUAUACUUCAGCCUUUGUUGGCUUAAGAAGUAUUUUAGCCUAAAUGGCUCUUCUCACUUCACUCUCCGCUCCUGACUCUCAGGUUGUGCUCAGCUUUUAUAAUAAAUUUUAGAGGAAGAAAUCUGUAACUAUGACUAAUUUCCUCUACGCAAUAUGUUUGUCAAAGCAAGUUCUAGCAGUGUUUAUCAACCACAAAACUAUGUCCUGUUUGCGUGGUUUGUGGUACUAGGCGUUUCCCGUGGUUCUUUAAUCUCUCUAAAUAUUUGCUUAUUCAUGCGAGGAAGGUUGCCUA
Non-coding RNA from Paramuricea clavata, 493 nucleotides. NCBI's taxonomy places the organism in Eukaryota, Metazoa, Cnidaria, Anthozoa, Malacalcyonacea, Plexauridae. The record is from the annotation of a GenBank genome assembly.